GAUGAACGCUGGCGGCGUGCUUAACACAUGCAAGUCGAACGAUGAAGCCCAGCUUGCUGGGUGGAUUAGUGGCGAACGGGUGAGUAACACGUGAGUAACCUGCCCUUGACUCUGGGAUAAGCCUGGGAAACUGGGUCUAAUACUGGAUAUGACUUCUCAUCGCAUGGUGGGGGGUGGAAAGAUUUAUUGGUCUUGGAUGGACUCGCGGCCUAUCAGCUUGUUGGUGAGGUAAUGGCUCACCAAGGCGACGACGGGUAGCCGGCCUGAGAGGGUGACCGGCCACACUGGGACUGAGACACGGCCCAGACUCCUACGGGAGGCAACAGUGGGGAAGAUUGCACAAUGGGCGCAAGCCUGAUGCAGCGACGCCGCGUGAGGGAUGACGGCCUUCGGGUUGUAAACCUCUGUCAGUAGGGAAGAAGCGAGAGUGACGGUACCUGCAGAAGAAGCGCCGGCUAACUACGUG
Molecule: ribosomal RNA, 466 nt
Filed under: uncultured bacterium
Lineage: Bacteria
Description: partial 16S ribosomal RNA
Rfam family: Bacterial small subunit ribosomal RNA
Source: RNAcentral